This 566-nucleotide long non-coding RNA is filed under the name Medicago truncatula (barrel medic). RNAcentral's name for it is "long non-coding RNA (MTRU_LNC002030)". Lineage: Eukaryota; Viridiplantae; Streptophyta; Magnoliopsida; Fabales; Fabaceae. The record is from RNAcentral.
CUCAUCUUCCUCAUCUUCAUCAGAAGAUUCAUCAGUAUCUUCUUCAUCAGAAGCAGCUUUCUUUGCGGGUGCACUCCCAUUUUUAGAUGGAACAGCUUUAGCUGCAGGUUUCUGAACCAUAAAAAAACAUGUAAGUGAGUUAUAGAGGGAGUUUUAAUAAACAAAACAAAAAGUUGGCAACGCAUUGUUUUUGCUAUAAAUUAAAGGUAUCAUGAAAUAAACUAAAGGGAAUUAUCAUCAUGCAAUAAACUUCAAAAUGUCUAUUACCUUGUCUUCAUCAGAAGAUUCUUCAGAAUCUUCUUCUUCAGAAGUAUCAACUUUCUUUGCAGGUGCACUCCCAUUUUUAGAUGGAACAGCUUUAGAUACGGGUUUCUGAACCAUAAAAAAAGUGAAUUAUAGAGGCCAUUUUAAAAAACAGAACAAUAGGUUGUCAAAACAGUGUUUUAAGAUAUAAAUCAAAGAAAUAUCAUGCAAUAAACUUCUAGAUGUCUCUUUAAUGUUUAAGAUGUAAAUAAAAGGAAUAUAUGCAAUAAACUCCAAGAUGUCUCUUCAAAUUUGCUGCACUC